Molecule: transfer RNA, 85 nt
Filed under: [Chlorobium] sp. 445
Lineage: Bacteria; Pseudomonadati; Chlorobiota; Chlorobiia; Chlorobiales; Chloroherpetonaceae
Description: Chlorobium sp. 445 tRNA-Ser
Rfam family: tRNA
About the family: Transfer RNA (tRNA) molecules are approximately 80 nucleotides in length. Their secondary structure includes four short double-helical elements and three loops (D, anti-codon, and T loops). Further hydrogen bonds mediate the characteristic L-shaped molecular structure. tRNAs have two regions of fundamental functional importance: the anti-codon, which is responsible for specific mRNA codon recognition, and the 3' end, to which the tRNAs corresponding amino acid is attached (by aminoacyl-tRNA synthetases). tRNAs cope with the degeneracy of the genetic code in two manners: having more than one tRNA (with a specific anti-codon) for a particular amino acid; and 'wobble' base-pairing, i.e. permitting non-standard base-pairing at the 3rd anti-codon position.
Source: RNAcentral
GGAGGAAUCGCCUAAUGGUAUGGCAGCAGUCUUGAAAACUGCCGGGCGCAAGCCUGUGGGGGUUCGAGUCCCUCUUCCUCCGCUA